Molecule: non-coding RNA, 24 nt
Filed under: Arabidopsis thaliana (thale cress)
Lineage: Eukaryota; Viridiplantae; Streptophyta; Magnoliopsida; Brassicales; Brassicaceae
Source: RNAcentral
GAAACAAGAAAGGUGACCGACGCC